UACGAAGAGGGCUAGCGUUGCUCGGAUUGACUGGGCGUAAAGGGCGCGUAGGCGGUUCGUACAGUCAGACGUGAAAUUCCUGGGCUCAACCUGGGGGCUGCGUUUGAUACGUGCGGACUUGAGUGCGGAAGAGGGUCGUGGAAUUCCCAGUGUAGAGGUGAAAUUCGUAGAUAUUGGGAAGAACACCGGUGGCGAAGGCGGCGACCUGGUCCGAUACUGACGCUGAGGCGCGAAAGCGUGGGGAGCAAACAGG
RNAcentral lists this ribosomal RNA (253 nucleotides) under uncultured bacterium. Its description in RNAcentral is "partial 16S ribosomal RNA". It matches the Rfam family "Bacterial small subunit ribosomal RNA", at positions 524 to 776 of the family's 1533-position model. The record is from RNAcentral.